Molecule: ribosomal RNA, 821 nt
Filed under: Planococcus sp. D49-PB-E05
Lineage: Bacteria; Bacillati; Bacillota; Bacilli; Caryophanales; Caryophanaceae
Description: bacterial SSU rRNA
Rfam family: Bacterial small subunit ribosomal RNA
Source: RNAcentral
GAAACGUCUUGCGCGGCGUGCCUAAUACAUGCAAGUCGAGCGGAACUUUGGGAAGCUUGCUCCCAUUGUUUAGCGGCGGACGGGUGAGUAACACGUGGGCAACCUGCCCUGCAGAUCGGGAUAACUCCGGGAAACCGGUGCUAAUACCGAAUAGUUUGCGGCCUCUCCUGAGGCUGUACGGAAAGACGGUUUCGGCUGUCACUGCAGGAUGGGCCCGCGGCGCAUUAGCUAGUUGGUGGGGUAAUGGCCUACCAAGGCGACGAUGCGUAGCCGACCUGAGAGGGUGAUCGGCCACACUGGGACUGAGACACGGCCCAGACUCCUACGGGAGGCAGCAGUAGGGAAUCUUCCGCAAUGGACGAAAGUCUGACGGAGCAACGCCGCGUGAGUGACGAAGGUUUUCGGAUCGUAAAACUCUGUUGUGAGGGAAGAACAAGUACCAAGUAACUACUGGUACCUUGACGGUACCUCACCAGAAAGCCACGGCUAACUACGUGCCAGCAGCCGCGGUAAUACGUAGGUGGCAAGCGUUGUCCGGAAUUAUUGGGCGUAAAGCGCGCGCAGGCGGUUCCUUAAGUCCGAUGUGAAAGCCCACGGCUCAACCGUGGAGGGUCAUUGGAAACUGGGGAACUUGAGUGCAGAAGAGGAAAGUGGAAUUCCAUGUGUAGCGGUGAAAUGCGUAGAGAUGUGGAGGAACACCAGUGGCGAAGGCGACUUUUCUGGUCUGUAACUGACGCUGAGGCGCGAAAGCGUGGGGAGCNAACAGGAAUAGAUACCCUGGUAGUUCACGCCGUAACGAUGAGUCUAAGUGUAGGGGGGGU